Molecule: unclassified non-coding RNA, 347 nt
Filed under: soil metagenome
Description: partial contains 5.8S ribosomal RNA, internal transcribed spacer 2, and large subunit ribosomal RNA
Rfam family: 5.8S ribosomal RNA (bases 1-120)
Source: RNAcentral
GAUGAAGAACGUAGCGAAAUGCGAUAAGUAAUGUGAAUUGCAGAAUUCAGUGAAUCAUCGAGUCUUUGAACGCACAUUGCGCCCCCUGGUAUUCCGGGGGGCAUGCCUGUCCGAGCGUCAUUGCCGCCCUCAAGCACGGCUUGUGUGUUGGGCCCCCGCCCCCCGGCUUCGGGGGCGGGCCCGAAAGGCAGCGGCGGCACCGCGUCCGGUCCUCGAGCGUAUGGGGCUUCGUCACCCGCUCUGUAGGCCCGGCCGGCGCCCGCCGGCGACCCCAAUCAAUCUUUCCAGGUUGACCUCGGAUCAGGUAGGGAUACCCGCUGAACUUAAGCAUAUCAAUAAGCGGAGGA